UACUUGGGCUCUUUAUUUGUUCACUGGACAGCUGCUUCUGUCAGAGGAGACUAAGAGUCUUAUUCGUCUUCGUGUCUCUAUUUCCUAGUGCAGUUCUAGUACAAAGCUGGCAUUUCAGAAAUGUUUAGUGCAUGAUGAAAUCUGUGUAUGUCCUGCUGUAUAGCACCGGGAACUGUAUCUAGUCACUUAACGAUGGAGCAUGAUGGAGGAUAAUGCGAGAAAAAGAAAUUGUAUAUAUGUGUCUGUGACUGGGUCACCUUGCUAUACAGUAGAAAAUUAACAGAACACUGUAAACCAGCUGUAAUGGGAAAAAAAAUCAUUUAAAAUUUUUAAAAAAAUUGAAAAAAAAAAAAGAAAUCUGUAUAUCUGCUUUCCUUUCUCUAUUGUGAGAUCCCCAGAUGGGUAUCUUGAUCAUUUUUGCUUUUUUAGAAAAUUCAUGUCUUUACAUUUUAUAAUUCAGUUUUAAUGAAGGUUAAAUUGCAUAGAAAAAUGAAAAGGUUAGAAUGAGAGACCUUAUAUAUCUUUUAGUUAAAGUGUCUUCAGAUUCUAAGUGCGAAACUGACUUGGUAUUUUUUCAUCGUGCAGUUAUUAUUAUAAUUGGAUCUGAUUUUAAUAAUAGUAUUUAACACUUAGAUGUGUUUUUGUGCUAGAGACUUCACAAAACACAUUUCAGGGGUUUUUGUAACAUUCACAACAAGGUACAGUGUUUUAUUGCUGCUUAUAUUUUAUAGAACAAAAUACUGAAGUUUGACUAAGCGAGGUCAUAUAUUUGGUGAGGAAUCUGGGAUUCAUAGUUAUUAAAUUAUUAGAUUAUAAAUAAUGUUGAGGGAGAAAAGGGAUUUAAUUAGUGAAUUUGUUUUGUCAAAUGUGUGUCAACAUUUAAUAUAAUGUUUAGAAAAGUCAACGAAAAUAGGAUACAGUGAAUGUCCUUGUCCCCGAGCGAAGAUGGACACAAGUUGUCCAGAGUUAUACUAAGAGGGAAUGACUUUGUGAAGCUUUGAUAAUGUGUCACAGCUUUGUGGCAGGAAAGCAAGUAUACAUAUUAUAUGUCUUGGUCCUGUGGCAGAGCUCAUGCUAAGCAGGAAACUUGACAUAAUUCCUCUUCUACUAUUAGGCUGUCAGAAAUCAAAAAUCAAGAAUAAGAAGGCAGUUACUGUUGAAUGAGGCAAGUCUUCCAUGCCUGUCGCUCCCCACCAGGGAACUCCGCUAUCAUGUGCCUUGGACUUGGUUCUUUAAGGUCAGCAGUUAGAAAAAUAUAGGUUUUACUCAUGGACUGUUGAGAGCACUUGCAUUUUUUUUUUUUUUUUUUUUUUUUUAGGGCUGCACCCAUGGUGUAUGUAAGUUCCCAGGCUAGGGAUCAAAUUGAAGCUGUAGCUGCUGGCCUACACCACAGCCACAGCAACACCAGAUCCGAGCCGAAUCUGUGGCCUAUGCUCAAGGCAGUCCGGAUCCUUGACUCACUGAGUGAGGCCAGGGAUUGAAUCCACAUCCUCAUGGAUACUAGUCGGGUUUGUUAGCUGAGCCAUGAUGCAAACUCUUUUUUUUUUUUUUUUUUUUUUUUUUUUCUAUGUAGCUUGAUGUGGGAUCUCAGUUCCCAGACCAGGAAUUAUACCUGAGUUGUGGUGGCGAAGUGACAAAGUCUAACCACCAGACCGCCAGGGAACUCCCCAGCACUUAUUUACUUGUUCAUUUUGUCUCAGUGUCUGGCACAGUUCUGUAUAACUAAUAGCAUGUCUAGACAGAAAGGUAUUUUGUUUCAGUCCCAUUCUAUGUGAGUGUUGUUUAUACGGUCAGUUUGCCUUUGGCACCACAUUCUAACGAAUAAAAUGUCAACUGCAGUUGUUAUUAGGGACAUUAUUGUCAUUAGUGACUUGAAGACUCCUUUUAACCUGUGAAUUAUAAUUAUGAUGUCUUACUCUGGGUCCAGCCGCACCUCCUCCUGCCCCUUAAAGCUGACCCUAAGACAAGGAGUUGAUAUGAAGAUUUUAUUUUGGUUGUGAUCACAGAAAACAGAAAUGUGGGAAAAUGGAGAGAGGGACAAGAAAGGCAGAAAAACAAAAGAGUAUGUGUUAAUGGGCUGAUUUCUGCUUAGAAUUAUCCUGCUGGAGAACAAAACAUUGGGAUGUUUAUCCAUAGACUUUUGUCUCUCGUUGCAUGAGCAUUGCAUUGGGGUUGCACAUCUCACAUCUCCGGGUUGCACCUUCAUCUGGCUAAGCUAUUUUCCCCAACUUAUAGAAAGCAGUACAGAGAGGCACCAUGGGAUGCUGGUGAAGAUGCACGGAACUGUCCACCAUACAAGUUCUGAAACUAGGUGCACUGAGGGGGAAACGGUACAGUUCAUUCUAAAUAUCUGCCACAGAUAACAGAGUCUUACCUAAGAAUAAUGGCCAAAAGAUGAAACAAAUUGUGAAUGUUCUACUAAUUACUUUUAUGUUUAUAUGUGCUUUUUUUGGUAUGUUUUGGGAGAUUACAGUCAUGACAAAUGGCAUCACAAUCAAUUCAGAGUUGGUGUUAGGACCAAUCGCUCUUCAUAAAAAUUGGCAAAAUGCCAAAUUUUGGCACUGUUUGAAAGAGCCAAAAAAGAGAACGAAAACCUGAGUUUUAAAACUCACUAGUGAAUCGAUUUUACUAGAAGGUCUGAUCAAGGGACACACACUUAAUAUAAUAGCAUUCAGAAUUUUGGAUUUAAAAAUCAUCUUAUUUUUCUUUGAUAUUGCAGAAAAUUAAAAAACUUGAAUAAAAAUAUAAAGAAGGAAACUGCAUCAACCAUAACCUUCCAUCUAAAAAUAAUCAUUAUUACUAUAUUGAUAUAAUUCUUCCCAGAAAAAAUUCUUAUUGUAGAUGUGAGUAGGUGAGAGAUACAUAUAUUUGAUAAUAAAUGCCAAUUCUGCAGUGAGUGGCAGGUAAAGAAACUAAUGUUUAUUGAAUACUUUUUGUUUGCUGCACAUCAGGUUGAGCAGUCUACACACCUUCCCUAAUCCAUUAGCCUUUGCGCUGUUUGCUUUUAGGAAGCCACCCUCCCAGCCCUGGAGGUCAGCCUGCGUGCGUUGGGUACUGCCCAGAGCCUGUCUCCAGUCAUUGAAAGAAUGCUUUGUCUUCCACAGGCCCCAAGUGAGCAAGUCAGAAAGGUUAAGGGCAGCCUGGGAAAUGCUGAGAAGUGUUUUUUCUAAUAGAAAUGAAAAUGGAAUAGAGGCAGAGGAAUGGGGGAAAUGUAUUAGAGUAAAGCAAUGGAAAAGAAACUUCCUUAAAUUCAUUUUCCUCUCAACACUGUGUUAUGUCUGUUUUUAGGUCUGCUUGUUCAAAUGACUAGGCAGAUUUUCCCAAUUAAACCUUCAUUUACAACCCCGCUCAUCCCAAAUGUGUAAAUAAGCUUCUUUUGGGUUUGUCUGACAGGCAUUUGCUUUGCAUCAUCAUUUGUGUUUUGACAUUCCUGGAGAUGAAAACAAUUCUGCCAUAGUCCCAACUCCUUCGAAAUGUCUUUUUCCUCCUUUUAUCUUUGAUUCAUGGGUGUAAGUAAAUAAAACCUGCCCUACCGUGUCUUGCUUCUCCUCCCUCCUUUCCUUUCCAAUUCAGGACUUUAAUUUGAAAAUGGUUAUUUUUAGCCUUGUUCUCAACUGUGCCUAUGCUCUGUCCUCACCAUGCUGCUGAUUGCUGAUAACACAGCUGGCUUCGGGGGUGGCCGGCGCAGUCUGCAAACAUUACAGAUAAGAUUGAUUGAAAAGUGGGUUGCAGCUGAUAGAGACCCUCUGAGGCCUAGGAAGCAGGAGCUUCCUAAAGGGUUUGUUUUUUGGGGUGAAGUUUUUCAACCCUACUUCCAUGGGAGCCUGUCGGGAGAAAGGCAGAAGAGAAAGACAGACUGUCUCUUCUUGGGUGGUCUUGGGACUCAGAGGUGUACUGACCAGUCCUGACUUCAGAAAACUAGGGACUGUGUGAGUAGAGAAAGGGCUGUUUGUGAAACUAUAUAGGAUCAAAGAGUCAGAAGGUACGGCCCAUCCAGAGGCAGUCCAGAGGCUUUCAGUCAAAGUAUAAGCCGGGGUCCAGUCUGAUAACCUUUAGGCCACAAGUGCCCUGUAGAUGUGUUUGCUUGGUUUCUAGUGUUUUUCUUUUUCUUUUUCUUCUUUUGGCUGAGCCCACGUAUAUAGAAGUUCCUAGGCCAGGGUUCCAACCCAUGCCCCAGCAGCGACCCAAGUCACUGUAGUAAUAAUGCCGGGUCCUUAACCCCCUGUGCCGCAAGAGAACUCCUCUAGUAUUCUUUAAAAUUGUGUUAUUAGGAGUUCCCGUUGUGUCUCAGCUGGUAAUGAAACUGACUAGGAUCCCUGAAGAUUCAGGUUCAAUCCCUGGCCUCACUCAGUGGGUUAAGGAUGCGGCAUUUCCAUGAGCUAUGGUGUAGGUCACAGAUGUGGCUUGGGUAUGGCAUUGCUCUGGUUGUGGCUGUGGCCAGCAGCUGCAGCUCCAAUUCAGCCGCCAGCCUGGGAGCUCCCAUAUACCGCAGGUGCAGCCUGAAAAAGAAAAAAAAAAGUGUUAGUUAUUAUUAUUGUUGUUCAGUUACAUAGUCAAUAUUUAGGUAUAUAUUCAAUUAUACAUUCAAAGUGAAAUUGAAUAUUAUAGAUUCAAUCAUAUGUUCAAUAGACAGGUAGAUAGAUAGUCAGAUGUAAACGUUUACUCUGUGCCAAGAACUGCUCUAAGCUGUUCACAGAUACCUUGUAAUUUACUUUUAAUAGCCACCCUAUGAGGUAGAUUCCAGUAUUGUCCUCAUUUCACAGAUGAGGAAACUGAGGCACUGAGACGUUAAAUAACUUGUGCAAAGUCAUAUUCAGUAUAACUCUUUGGAACUUGUGGUGACUCUCGGGCUCUCAGUCCUUAGGGCCACAAGUGUCCCUACUAGUUAGGAUAUGCCUGCUCUAGUUUAUUGGAGUCUUCACAUAUCCCUAGUCUCUGUAAUUAGUCAACUUAAAUAUUUUGUUAUCUUUCUUGCUCUAACUUUAAGCCGUUGAGAAAAUAACUUCUGGGAUAAGUCCAUAGUUUUCAAAUCAGGGAGAUGAGGUUUAGCCAAAGAAGGCAUUGGAAAGUGGCAGUGCGGGAUGGAGGAAUCCUCAGAAAAUGCCAAGGGCCCACUGGUCCUAAACCACCUUCGCCCACCGGGGUAGUGAUUCCAGUCACUCAUCUAGUCAGCUGUACGUAGGAGAUGACAAAAACUGAGCCAAAAGCAAAGUCCCUUAGUCACUUAUGAUGGAGCCUGAUGGAGGAUAAUGUGAGAAAAAGAGUGAACACACGUACGUGUGACGGGGUCACUUUGCUGUACAGUAGAAAAUUGACAGAAUACUGUGAACCAACUAUAAUGGAAACAAUAAAAAUCAUUUAAGAAAUUAAAAAAAAGCAAAGGUCACAACUCUGGGUGAAAACCAAAGAGAAAUUUCAGUCUAAAGAAGGGUAAGCCAGGUAGGCAGUGACUGUGCUCUCCUGCGUUAUGAAGAGGAGGGAGCAUUGACAUGGCAAGGUCUGGGAAGUCUCCUCUGAGGAGGUGACUUUAAGAACUUGAGCAGAAGUUACCCAGAAAGGAAUAGGUCAUCACGUAUGGUUGUGAAGAUGGUGCCUUGAAAACAGCUUUCCUGGAGUUCCUGUGGUGGCUCAGUGGUUCAAGAACCUGACUAGUCUCCAUGAGGACUCGGGUUCGAUCCCUGGCCUUGCUAAGUGGGUUAAGAAUCCCACGUUGCUGUGGCUGUGGCGUAGGCUGGCAGCUGCAACUCCGAUUCGACCCUUAGCCUGGGAACCUCCAUAUGCUGUGGGUGUGGCCCUAAAAAGACAAAAAAAAAAAAAAAAAAA
This 5823-nucleotide long non-coding RNA is filed under the name Sus scrofa (pig). RNAcentral's name for it is "lncRNA (ENSSSCG00040058190.1)". Lineage: Eukaryota; Metazoa; Chordata; Mammalia; Artiodactyla; Suidae. The record is from RNAcentral.